GUGUUUUAAUUUUCAGUUCAGCAUGCUCAGUCCUUUCUCUUGGCUGUUUAGUGUUCAUUAUGUGGUUUGAGUUCUUAUACACCCCCUUCCCCUGAAUCCCUUUAAUUUAGUCUUAUAUACUUAUGUGACUCCUUUUUCCCUGAUCCCUGUUUGAAUGAGAGUGUGUUCUGGAUUAGGGUGGCAUCUCAUUAUUGUUCAUUAUAUGGUUAGAGUUCUUAUGCACCCAUUUCCCCUGAAUCCCUUUAAUUUAGUCUUAUAUACUUAUGUGACUCCUAUUUCCCUGAUCCUUGUUUGAAUGAGUGUGUGUUCUAGAUUAGGGUGGCAUCUCAUUGUCACUCCUAGUUUAGAACUAAGGUUGUCAACAACCUAUACUCAAAGUAAUCACAUCCCCUACCCCCUUAUUAUGUGUUUGAGCCUUGACAAAGGCCUGUUGGUGUCUUAAUCACCAUACAAGCCCUAGUCUAACUUUUUUACUAGUCUGCUCCUGUUUGUUAACCUUUGUAAGUGGCUAGGGGUGUGCCAGCCUCACUCCAUAGGCUAGGUAUGACCACCUCCUACAAUGGUCUUCCUCUNNNNNNNNNNNNNNNNNNNNNNNNNNNNNNNNNNNNNNNNNNNNNNNNNNNNNNNNNNNNNNNNNNNNNNNNNNNNNNNNNNNNNNNNNNNNNNNNNNNNNNNNNNNNNNNNNNNNNNNNNNNCCAUGCUUAGGGGACCCCAGAGUCUCCUCUGAACUUGGAUGCUUUGGGGCUAGUAAUUCCACACUUGCACUACUCUAAAGAGAAAGCCUCGGAUUUUGGGAGCCUGGAUUUGGUAAAGGGCAUAUGUUGGACAUUAAAGUGUCUAUGUGCUUCUUCGGGCAUGUUGUAGUAUUGAUGUAUUAUUUAUUUCCUUAAUGUUAUUUUUUUGGUCCAGAUUCUUGUAAAUAACUUGUAAUAAAAAAACUUGGGGAUCUAGUGAAAGAGCUUAUGGGAGGGGUUUACCUUUCUUGCUUUAUCUCAUACAGUUACCAUGGCUAUAGGGUUUUACUUUUUUGCAUCAUAUCAUGUAGAUACCAUGCUUAUAGGGUUUUACUUAUUGCAUCAAUAUCAUAUAGUUACCAUGUCUAUAAGGGUUUACUUUCUUGCAUCUCAUAUAGAUGUCAUAUCUACAGGCUUUUUGUUAUUGCAUCAACUUCAUAAUAGAAAUCAUGUCUAUUGGUCUGCAUUCUUACAACCUCAUAUAGAAACCAUGCUUAUAUGUUUGCAUUCUCAUAAUCUCACCUAGAAAAUAUGCCUAUAGGAACCAUAUAAACGCUAGGCAAAACAGUAGGUCGUCCAAACUUGUAAAAAAGCAGUAACGAACAAAGAUCAAUGUGUAUGUCCAAUGCUUAAAAACGUUUCAGUUUUUUUACUUUUAAAUCGGGCCCAGGUCUGCCCCUUUCACAUUACUACCCUCUUUCAUGACAUGAUACAUAACUAGAUUGAGGUAUAUGUAGACGACGUCAUCAUUAAGUCCAGGAAGGCUGCAGAUCACAUAGAGGACCUUCGAAAGUUUUUCAACAGACUAAGGAGGUAUAACUUGAAAGUGAAUCCCGCCAAGUGUGCAUUUGGGGUCCCUGCGGCAAAGUUAUUGGGUUUCAUCGUAAGUCGCCGAGGAAUACAAAUUGAUCCAUCAAAGGUCAAAUCCAUUCAGGAGUUGCCACCGCCGAAGAGAAAGAAAGAGGUAAUGAGUUUCCUGGGGACGCUCAACUAUAUCAACCGGUUCAUAACUCAGUCUACCAUCAUCUGCGAACCUAUCAUCAAGAUGCUGAAGAACGAUGCCGCCACCAAAUGGACCAAUGAAUGUUAAAAGGAUUUCGACAAGAUCAAGGAAUACUUGUCUACGCCUCCAGUCCUAGUUCCGCCUGAGCCUGGGAGGCCCUUAUUGCUCCAUCUCACAUAUUUGGACGGAGCAUUUGGUUGUGUCUUAGGACAACAUGAUGAGACGGGGAUAAAGGAGCAAAUUAUUUACUACCUCAGCAAGAAAUUUACCUUGUACGAGGCUCGGUAUUCCUUGCUAGAACGCACCUAUUGUGCUUUGACUUGGAUAGCUCAGAAGUUGAGGCAUUAUUUCUGUGCUUACACUACCUAUCGUAUAUCAAGAAUGAAACCGCUAAAGUAUAUUUUUCAGAAGCCCAUGCCCACUCGCAAGCUCGCCAAGUGGAAAAUUUUGUUGAGUGAAUGUGAAAUUGUCCAUGUCACCCAGAAGGAAGUUAAAGGACAGGCUUUGGCAGAUCAUCUUGCAUAAAAUCCUGUGGAAGGGGAGUACAAACCAUUGAAAACAUAUUUUCCCGACGAGGAAGUAGCUUUCAUAGGAGAAGACAUUGCAGAAUCCUAUGAUGGUUGGAUGAUUCUUUUCGACAGGGCUUCGAAUUCCAAAGGAGUUGGUAUAGGAGCAGUCCUGGUAUCAAAAACCGGUCAGCACUACCUGGUAUCUUCCCAGCUCAGAUUCUCGUGCGCCAAUAAUAUGGCCGGGUAUGAAGCUUGCAUCUUGGGGCUUAAACUGGCCAUUGACAUGAACAUUCAGGAGUUGCUAGCGAUUGGGGAUUCAGACCUACUGAUACACCAGGUUCAAGAAGAAUGGGCAACUAAGAAUUCCAAGAUACUCCCUUAUCUGCACCACGUACAGGAGUUAAGAAAAAGGCUUAGAAAAAUGGAAUUCCAGCAUGUUCCACGAAUACAGAAUGAGUUCGCAGAUGCGCUUGCAGCUUUGUCAUCCAUGAUUCAGCAUCCAGAUACAAACUUCAUCGACCCCAUCCAGGUCAAGAUUCAUGAUCAACCGACAUAUUGCGCACAUGUUGAGGAAGAAGCCGACGGAAAACCCUGGUUCCACGACAUCAAGGAGUACCUGACANNNNNNNNNNNNNNNNNNNNNNNNNNNNNNNNNNNNNNNNNNNNNNNNNNNNNNNNNNNNNNNNNNNNNNNNNNNNNNNNNNNNNNNNNNNNNNNNNUGAAUAUCUAGAGCUUGCUAAUGCUACUCAGAAGCGCACGCUUCGAAGGUUGUCCAACAAUUUCAUUUACAACUGAGGAAUCCUGUAUAGGAGGACUCCCGAUUUGGGACUAUUAAGGUGUGCCGAUGCGACAGAAGCAACCAAGUUAUUAUAGGAAGUGCACUCAAGGACUUGUGGGCCUCACAUGAACGGUUUUGUUCUAACAAAGAAGAUACUCAUAUCGGGAUAUUUCUGGAUGACCAUGGAAACAGAUUGCAUUCAGUAUGUCCGAAAGUGUCACCACUGUCAAAUACAUACGGAUAUGAUAAAGGUACCUCUGAAUAAGCUCAGUGCAACGAGCUCACCAUGACCGUUCGCCGCUUGGGGAAUGGAUGCUAUUGGACCAAUCGAGCCUGCCGCAUCAAACGGACACAGGUUCAUUCUAGUGGCAAUUGAUUACUUUACUAAAUAGGUUGAAGCAGCAUCAUACAAAGCAUUAACCAAUAAAGUCGUAACAGACUUUGACCGAGAUCGUAUUGUCUGUCGGUUCGGGGUUCCAGAGUCGAUCAUCACUGAUAAUGGUUUCAGUAUCAACAGUGACUUGAUGAAAGCGAUGUGUGAAACUUUCAAGAUCAGGCACAGAAAUCUAUAGCUUAUAGACCUCAGAUGAAUAGGGCCGUGGAACAGCCAACAAAAACAUCAAGAAGAUAUUAAGGAAAAUGAUCAAAAGGCAUAAGCAGUGGCAUGAGAAGUUUUCAUUCGCUUUAUUGGGUUAUCGUGCUACAGUUCGCACAUCAACCGAGGCAACUCCCUACAUGCUGGAUUACGGUAUAGAGGCGGUAAUUCAUGCCAAGGUAGAAAUUCCGUCCUUGAGAAUCAUACAAGAAGUUGGGCUAGAUGACGCAUAAUAGGUCAAGCGUUGCUACGAACAGUUAACCCUUAUAGAUGGAAAGAGAAUGAACAUUGUCUGUCACGGUCAGUUAUAUAAAAAUAAAAUGUCUAGAGCCUUCAACAAAAGAGUUCGACCAAGGAAGUUCACAUCGGGACAGCCGGUGUUAAAGAAGAUAUUCCCACAUCAAGACGAGGUCAAAGGGAAAUUCUCUCCCAAUUAGAAAGGUCCAUACAUGGUUCACUGGGUUCUAACUAGAGGAGCCCUUAUUCUUGCAGAAAUUGAUGGAGAAGUUUGGACAAGACCAAUUAACUCAGAUGCAAUGAAAAGAUAUUACAUUUAAUCAAUAUGCUUUUUCUUUAUGAUGUAAUUUGAACUACGCCUGACCUGAUUUCCUUUUAAGAGGGGAUAUAUAGGCAGUCCUAUAGGUUCGGUCACAUCUUUAAUAAAAUUUCAUUCCCCCCCCCCCCCUAUGCUUUUUAUUUAUGAUGUAAUUUGAACUAUGCCUGACCUGAUUCCCGUUUAAGAUGGGAUGCGUAGGCAGCAUUAUGGAUUCAGUCACAUCUUUAAUAAAAUUCUAUUUUCCCCCACAUUUGGAACUGGGGCAGAAUUUUAAGGAGGACCCUCAAAAUUCCGAAGUCAGCUUGUCAAUUUUCGCAUCAGCAUCGACCCAGUAAACUGGGGCAGAAUUUUGAGAAGGACCCUCAAAAUUCUAAGGUCAAUCGACUUUCAGUCAUUCAGCACUGCCAUCAACAAUGUCAGCCCAGUAAAUUGGGGCAGAAUUUUGAGGAGGUCCCUCAAAAUUCCAGGGCCAGCUAGGUUGUCGUGCUUUGAACCACGUCGCAGUUGUGGUUAAUCAUAAAACAAAAUUAUCUUUUCUUUACUUAUACGUAUACAUUUGCAUCACGAUGGCAAAAAUUUGCAUGAAAUCAUCUGGAUCACUAUCGUUCAGCAACGCUACCCCAAACGGUACAGGACGCCACGAGUUGAGGGAUGCGAACUAACCUCCUCUUUUGCAGAACUCACGAUCUUUCUUUGGAUGCAGGAACCCAGAAUACAAACAGGCGACGCAUGUGCUUUAUAAAACUAGAGUUCCCGAAACAACUACUUGCCUCGCGAAGGUUUACUAUCAAUAUUCAACACUUCCCAGCAGUCAUUGUGAGCACAUGAUUUUUUCUCUAUAUAUAGAUAAUACCCAAAAAUUCAAACAAAAAAAAAUUCUCCUUAUUUUUACAAUUUUUGUGAACUUUGUGUUAAUAGUUUGCAUUCUCUUCGUGCAUGUUAAUUCAUACAAAAAUAAAAAUAUGCAUAUGCAUUUAGGAUUUAAUUUUAUAUUUUAAUAUUAAUUAGGGGUUAAUUUGUUUUAAAAUAAAAUAUGAAGAAAAUGAUCAAAAUAGUUCAAUUUUUGCAUUUUAAUUAUUUUAGUUGUGAAUUUGUCAUGAAAUAGUUGUUAAAACAAUAUUAGGGGGUAACUAGUUUAAUUUUGAAAUAUAGUUCAUUUAUAGGAGACGCACUUCCUAGUUUUAGUCAUUGAGAUUUUACCCACAGGAGACGCACUUCUAAAUUGACAGUUCAUUCAUAGGAGACGCACUUCCUAAAUUGGAAGUUUAUUUGUCGGAGACGCACUUCCUAGUUUGAGUCAUUUAAGUUCUGACCUAGGAGACGCACUUCCUAGUCUGGUUCAUUGAAGUUUUACCCAUAGGAGACGCACUUCCUAAAUUGAGAAGUUCAUUAGUAGGAGACGCACUUCUUAGUCUGGCUUUUUCAGGUUAUAUUUUAUUGUAGGAGACGCACUUCCUAAAUUGAGAUUUAACUCCUAGGAGACGUACUUUCUAGCUUGAGUCAUUUAUGUUCGAACCUAGAAGACCCACUUCCUAGUCUGGUUCAAUGAAGUUUUACCCAUAGGAGACGUACUUCCUAAAUUGAUAAGUUCAUUAGUAGGAGACGCACUUCCUAGUCUGGCUUUUUAAGGUUAUAUUUUAUUGUAGGAGAUGCACUUCCUAAAUUGAGAUUUCACCCCUAGGAAAUGCACUUCCUAGUUUGAUUCAUUUUAAGUUCGACCCUAGGAGAUGCACUUCCUAGUCUGGUUCAUUGAAGUUUUACUUGUAGAAGACGCACUUCCUAAUCAAGGUCUUUCAAGUUAUUCUUUUGGGAGACACAAUUCCUAAAUUGAGAGUUCAUUCAUAGGAGACGCACUUCCUAGUUUUAUUCAUUGAAGUUUUCACCCCUAGGAGUCGAACUUCCUAGUUUGGUUACUUCAGGUUUAAUGUAGCAGACACAUUUGCUAGUCAGUUUUUUGGUUUUACUCGUAGGAGACGCACAUUCUAGUCUAGUCUUUAGUUUACUCUCAUCAUUGCAUCAAUAGUAUAAGUGGUUUACAAUUUUGCUAACAACUCACAAAUAUUCCUAGUGCAAACUGGGGCAGAAAAUUUCGUUUGUUUUGUUCGUUUUGGUUGCAGGAUCCCACAUGGAAAACAAGGUAACACAGAAAGUUUUAGCAGUCUGAAGCCCGCCUGAAAAACAGAGGUGAUACAAUUCAAAUUUUAGUUUUCAAUUAAGUUCUUUCUUUAUUUUGAAGUCAAGAGUCCGCAUGGAGAACAGAGACAUACAUUUUGAAUUUCAGUAGUCAGGAGUUCGCCUGAAUAAUAGAGACAUACAAUUCAAGUUUUAGCAGUCAGGAGCCCGCCUGAAGAACAGAGGUGAUACAAUUCUAAUUUUAGUUUUCAAUUGAUUUCUUUGUCUUUUUGAAAUUAGGAGCCCGCCUGAAGAAUAGAGGUAUACAAUUAAAGUUUCGGAAAUCAGGAGCCCGCCUGUAUAACAGAGGUAUUUCAGGUCAAGUUUUAGUCAUAUUAUUAUUAAUAUCCGGUAACAUGUACCCAGUUUCCAAACUGGGGCAGAAAGUUUUCUUUGGUUUGUCUAUUUUUGUGAAGUCAGGAGCCCGCCUGGAUAACAGAGGAAAACAGUCAAAUUCAAAUCCAGCUGUCAGGAGCCCGCCUAAAGAACAGAGGAAUACAUUCAAGUUCUAGUUUAUUCAACUUCAGCAAUUUAGAGGAAAGGAACAACAUCUCAGUGACGAUUUGAAGUAACAACAAUGAGCUUCACGAAAGAAAUUACAAGACAACAAGGCAACAAGAAAGAAUACAAGACAACAAGAAAGUACAAGAUCAAGUUUUAAGAAUUUAGAUUGGACUUUUUUCAUAGUUCAUAGCAUAGGCUAGAUUCUUUUAUUUUGACAUGAUAUAAUAAGGAAGGUCAGCGAGCAGUAGCAGCAGCAGUAGCAGUGAAAUCACAGCUCCUGGUAGUCCCAGCUACCAGACACUUCCGAACUACACUGACCUAAUUCCCGUUUAGCCCAGGAUAAGUAGGCAACCUCUGAAGCAGGGUGCGGUCAAAACUUUUCAAAAUGCUUCGCAGCGGAAUAUUUGAACGGGCAAAAAUUGCUCGUAUUUGCUCACUUAUCUUUGCCCGAAAAUAUUUCAUGUUUCCAAGAAAAGAGGGGAGCUGUGAGCACGUGAGUUUUGCCCUAUAUAUAGAUAAUUCCAAAAAAUUCAAACAAAAAAAGAUUUCUCCUAAUUUUUACAAUUUUGGUGAACUUUUUGUUUAUUGUUUGCAUUUUAUUCGUGCAUGUUAAUUCAUACAAAAAUACAAAUAUGCAUAUACAAUUAGGAUUUGAUUUUAUAUAUUAGUAUUAAUUAGGGUUUAAUUUGUUUUAAAAUAAAAUAUGAAGAAAAUGAUCAAAAUAAUUCACUUUUUGCAUUUUAAUUGUUUUAAUUGUGAAUUUGUCAUGAAAUAGUUGUUAAAACAAUUUUAGGGGGUACCUAGUUUAAUUUUGAAAUAUAUUAGGGCUUCAUUUUUCAUAUUUAUAAUAUCAGAAAAAUACAAAGUGAAACAAAAAAUAAAUACAAGAAUUAAAAGAAGGAAACAAAAACCAAAAAGAAAAAAGCACAAGGAGGCUGUUCAUAUAAGAUAGCCGAAUUGGGCUCUUGAUUCUGCUGGCCCAAAUUACCAAUCAAUCCGCCCCCAAUCCCGGCCCAAAUCGCCAAGACCCAACCCGCUCCCCAAAUUAAACACACGCGAACAGAGACUGCCAAAAUCCCUAAUCUAAACGCGUAAUGUUCUUCUUCUCUGAAGAACACGCGAGCCAAACCCCAAAUUAGUCCCUUCUUUGGUUCCUGGUUCUGUUUCAGAAAAUAUAUAUAAAAAAAGUUUUCAUUAUCUUCUCUGAUUUCCCUCAAAGAAUGGAGAUGGGUUGAGCUGAGAUUGAGCUGGCUGCUCGAGUUCAAGUUCGUAGUUUUUACAUCCCGAUGCACUGUAACACUGGUGUUCUUGAGCUUUCAUCAUCGAAUUCACUUUUAUUGGAUUCAAAGAAGAAUUAAUCUAAGUUCGUUCUCAACUCAGGUUCAUUUCUUCUCCAACUCUUUAUUAAUUUGUGAUUCAGUGUUUGUGCGUGUUCAUAUCUCGGCAUGGUUGGUGUGAACCCUGAAAGCUAAUGUCUGUUCUCUUACUCUAUUUCUGAGCCUUGUUUGGCUUUGGUUCAGAUUUGUUAAGAUGUUUUGGUUUGUCAUUAAAGUGCACUGCGAUGGUCGAUCCCCUGCCCUUGAUUUGCUAGUCCAUCUCUUGCAAAUUCGUUGUUAGUUGAUAGGCUCUUUCUUUACCUCGCAAGGUUUUCGAAUUAUGUAGAAAUUAGUUUUUCUGGUCCUUUGAACUAAAUAAGGUCUCUGCUAAGGCUCCAUGAGUUUGGAACUCAUUAAUCCACUGCUUGAAUUGUUUGAGUUACGUCCUGAUUUUUCUUAAUCUCAUUUUGGCCCAUCUUAGUUGAUUCAUUGUUUAAUGAAGUAAGUUGCCAACCUUUCAUGUUACGUUUUCAUUUAAACACGGAAGCUGUUGUUUUGCAAUUGAGUAGCUGAAUCCGCUCGAAGUGUCUUUACUGAUUCUCUCUGGUUCUCAAACAGAAAUGUGCCUAAGUAUUAGGAUAGUCGUGACCAUGCCCGCGCCAAGUCAGAUUUUGUGCACGCUAUUUUGAUAUUUAUGAAUUGGAUUUACAAUUGACCUUAGAUGUUUGUGUUCCUUGCUGAGUUUAUCUCUAUGUGCUGCAUUUCAUAAGCUUGAUUGGAGAAAGAAGUAGAUUAAGACAUUGUCUUAUUACAUUUCCUUUAGAAAACUGCGUUAAUUAAAUUGUGUCCAUACGAACAGCGAGUGUUAUGAAGCUUGGAGCUGAAAUAUGUAUAUUUGAGUUGCUUGACUGAAAUUCUGAUUUCUUUGGAGUUAUAAAGUACUGUAGCACAAGAGGUAUUGUACAAAUUCGUGUUGUGAUCUAUUUUGAACUUGUUAAUCAUGAUACCGGAGAGAGCAGUAUUCUUGCACUAGAUUCUGAGCGUCUGUCCAUUUGGUGAAGCUUAAGUUGAUUAAUUUCUUUGUUUGAAAGUACCUGAUGUUUCGUGCUUCAUUUCUUUGAUUGAUUGAGCGAUGCGAUUCAUUUUGAUGAGUUCAAAAGAAUUAGCUCACUGCUUUUAGUCAUAUGAACUCGCUCUAUCGGCCUAACCAAAUGUAAACAUGAAGGAGUGAACAUUAACCAAUUGAUCCUUUGUGCCGGAGUUGUUAAUUCUAUUAGAUCUGAAAGUUUAAGCUUCUGAUUGUGUUCCUGUUGUUUGUGAACUUCAAAACGUCCCGAGCAUUUGAAUUGUAAAAUCAGUUGGAGUUGUGGUUUAAACUCGCGCGAGGUUCCACCUGGGCCUAGUUUGUUGCGUGGUUUUCUGGCUGUAAAUCUCAUUAUCUCAAAUGUCCGUCUCUUUUUCUGAUUAGCAUCGGUGCUUUUGUUGUAAUGCUUCACAGUAUACGUUGUUUGCAUGUCUGUUAUAUUUAUUGAAUGCGUCUGUGUUAAUGUUUCAAGAGGAUUUUGCUCGUUUCAGUGUCCUUUUCAUUUGAAGCUUCAUUUGAAUCAUAACAUGGUGGCAUAAUAUCCCGUUCUUAUCAUUUGGAUUAAGGCGUACUUGUUAAGGUCUUGUGAUAUAUAUUAAUUAGAAAGGAAAACUGUUUCUUUUAGUUCUUCUAUGGUAAAGUUAAAAAGUGUUUGAAUAUUGAAUGAAGUUUGCAUCAUUUUAUCUCUUUCAAUUAAUGCCAAAUUAUUAAAUUAGAAUGAAAAUUAUCAUGGGUACGGGUAUGGUUCUCGUGACGUAGCCGUGAUACUUAAUCCCUAAUUAGUGAAAUAUGAAUAUUCGUAGCUCAUUUAGUUGAAUGCUUUUCCUUUAGAGUUCGAUGUGUGCCAUUUAGCAAAUUCUAUGGCCCUCGCAAAGUACAAAUGCGUUCGAUUUAAUUAAAUUACUUUCUUAAACUAGGGUGCAUUGAUGCGACCACAAUCCAAAUCUCGAUGAAGUCGAAAUGUGUCGAUGACUACGGGUGCCUUGAUGGCGACGUGGUCGAACACGUGUUUUCACGACGUCGCAAGUCCUUUAAAAUAAAUAAUGGUAAAAGCAGUUUUGUAAAUAAAAGGCACAUAAGCUAGUAUGUAUUAAAAUCGGAUAAAAUCAAAUACAAUAGUUGAGCGACCGUCCUAGAACCACGGAACCCGGGAAUGCCUAACACCUUCUCCCGGGUUAACAGAAUUCCUUAUCCGGACUUCUGGUUCGCAGACUGUAACACAGUCAUAUCUUUCCUCGGUUCGGGAUUCAACCGGUGACUUGGGACACCAUUAAUCUCCCAAGUGGCGACUCUGAAUAAUUAAUAAAUUAAAUGUUGUUCAGAUUGUCCUUUAAGUGGAAAAACUCCUUUACGCCCCUUUGCGGAGGUGUAUAGCGAAAAAGGAGGUGUGACAAUCAUGAUAUCACAAUCAUUUACUAGCUAAGAAAAUCACCAUCAUCCUCUCCUUUAUAUUCCUACAUUUUGCAUAAGGCUAUUCUCUGCCUUUCGAGGUUAAGCUCUACCUCCAUUCUGCAUAAGGCUAUCUUUUGCAUUUCGGGACUAAGCUAUGUCUCCAUCUUGCAUCUUGCAUAAGGCUAUUAUCUGCCUUCCGAGGUUAAGAUCUACCUCCAUCCUGCAUAAGGAUAUCUUCUACCCUUCGAGACUAAGCUCUGUCUCCAUCUCGCAUUUUGCAUAAGGCUAUUCUCUCCCUUCUGAGGUUAAGCUCUACCUCUAUUUUGCAUAAGGCUAUCUUCUGCCUUUCAAGACUAAGCUAUGUCUCCAUCUCGCAUUUUGCAUAAGGAUGUUAUCUAGCUUCCGAGGUUAAGCUCUACCUCCAUCCUGCAUAAGCCUAUUUUCUGCCUUCCGAGGUUAAGCUCUACCUCCAUCCUGCAUAAGGCUAACUUCUGCCUUCCGAGACUAAGCUCUGUCUCCAUCCUGCAUUGCAUAAGGCUAUUCUCUGUCUUCAAGGUUAAGCCCUACCUCCUUUAUUUUGCAUUUGGCUGAAAUAUCGCCACCCUAUUUCAUUCGACUGAAAUAUCGCCGCCUUGCAUUUUAAAUUCCUGCUCCACUGAAAUAUCGCCACCCCUUGGAUUCAUUCGGCUGAAAUAUUGCCACCUUCGCAUGGGCUGAAAUAUCGCCACCUUAUUCAAAGGCGUCAUAGUUUGGAGGCACCAUUCGCAUAGCCCGAGAACACCAUUUCAUGGCCUGCGAAUCUUUACUUUAUGCUCUUCAUAGCCCAGUACGUCAUAGUCUGAUGACGCCAUCCUAAUCGUCCAAAGACAGCAUUCAUUGUCCAAUGGGAACUUGUAUCAUAUUUAAAUUAUGCAAUAUAUACGCACAUCGUUCAUUUGCAGGUACACCGGCUGGCACGACCACCUCAGCAGGAGCGGUCCCGCUCCAGUUCUCCGUAGCCCGUCCGAUAUUUGAACCCUUGACAAGUCUCAAACCCCGUUGCGUUUGCCUCUUCAAAAUUUUCAUUGGCAUAUCCCGCCAAUGGUUCCUGAACUACAUACAGCCCGAUUCCUGUAGAACCGAGGAUAUGUAGGCAGCUCAGAAGCCAGAGCACUGUCAAAAUUCUCUUACAAAUGUCAUUUCCGGUCAAAAUUGGCCAUCCUGUCUUUACCUGACAACUCUUUCAUCCUCCUCGGGUAAAGAGGGGCAGUUGUUGAUACCCAAUUUUUCCCAUGUAAUUCUAUGCUCAAAAUAUUUCCAAAAUAGCAUAUAGAUGCAUACAUAAGCAUCCACAAAAAGUUUGGUAUUUUUCUACAUUUUUUCAAGUACUUUUAAUGCCAAUUUACGAUUUAUUUUGUUCUAUAUAAUCCAAUAUUUAGUCUCAAAUCUUGCUAUUUUCAUAAGUAAUCUAUUUUAUUCUCAUAUUACAUAAAAAUAUAAUUUUUACAGAAUUUUACAAAGCCAUUAGGUAUUUUUAAAUUAAAACUGCAGUAAAUUGCAAUUUUAGCCUAUUUCUCAAUUUAAUAAGUAUUUCAAGUACAAAAUUCGUUCCUAAUUUUUUUAAUUAACUCCUAGACAUAUUUUAUUAACUCAGUACUUUCACUGGAUUUUUAUAGGAUUGUUUACUAUUUUUAUAAAAUUAAAAUUGGGAAAGAUGGCUAUUUAAAUUGUAGCCCUUAAUCUUUCAAUUUUAGCCCAAAUUGGAACCCAAAUCAAUCCCAUUUAAAACCCCAAUUGCCUGAUCCAAAUUCCAAAAUCACCCGACCCAAACCCACCUAAAUCUAACCCGCCUGCUCCCUUUUCUAAUCUUGGCCGUUGAUCUCACAGAUCAACGGCCCACAAUCCACUUACCAAAAAUUAAAUCCCAAAUAACCCCCAAGCCCUAAUCAGUCUUCCAAACCCGCCGCCUUUGAAUCCCUAAAGCUCUCAAAGCCCUCUCAAACCCUAAAUCAUCUCCGGCUAUCUAACCGGCGUCCAUGGUCGUCCAAGACUUGAAACUUCUUUAUUCGUUCACUCCUCACCUCUCCGGGCCAUGGGUUCGAAGAUCGGAAGCCCACUUCGAAGCUAAUCAGACCAGAGGUCCUCUAAUGAGGUUUCGCAGCCGUAUCUGGCCUUUUCUCCGGCAAGCCUUAAAGCCCUGGGCCCUUUGCUGACUCUGACGAGUCCAUUCCAGGCUUUUCUCACUACUUCGAAACUUUUCUAUGCAAACUCCAAUGUUCGAGGUUCAUCUCUGUGUUCAUCUUUAAGAUUCUCUCUAAAAUCCUAGUGAUUUUCUAAAGAUUUACAAAAUAUUUCUCAUCUCUUCUUCGCCUAUUCAUUUUUUCAAACUGAUCGUCUUUUAAAACCUAGGGUUUCUAUGACUUUCCAUGAUUUCUCUGAUUUUAUUACUUUAUUUGCUGUUGUGUGUUCUACUCUAUGUCUUUGCUAUGAUUUUAAAGCAUUUUUCUACCAAUUACUUUAUUUGCUGAUGUGUGUUCUUCUCUAUGUCGUUGAUAUGAUUUUUAAGCAUUUUUCUACCAUGACUCUAUGGUGUUUUGCUUUACUGUUUACUUUCUAGGGUUUUCAGUUCAUGUAUUCUACGCUUCCUUUAUGUUGUUCUGCUUUUAUUCAUCUUCAUCUGUUAUAUUCCUUAUGCUCUGAUUUGCAAUGGAAACCCUAGUUUUCAGAGGGUUUUUCCAUUGUCUCUCUGUGAAACCUUAGCCGCCUCUAGUUGCUUCCUCGUAUUUUUUGCUACAUGUUAUUCUAAUUGCUUCUAGUUUAUGCAUGUUCAAACCUGUGCAUAUUUUAUAGUACCACUUUCCCCCUUCUCUGAAACCCUAAUUGAUUUCGUACAAUUUGUUUGAUUCUCUAAUUAAGGCUUGUUCUCUGACUAAGUUCAAUACAUCGGUAUCAUGAUUCCUUGAUUUCCUGGGUGAUUACUUGCCUUAUGUCUUUUACCCGUGUGAUUUUCAAAUUCUUCUUAUGAAUUUGCCCUAUAUUCUUUGACUAGUACUCGAUUUCCUUUCCAAAAUUAGACCUGAGCUUAGUUAUUUCUACUCGGUUCCUACCCUAUAUUCGGUGACUAGUACUCGAUUUCCUUUGCAAAGUUAGACCUAUGCUUAGAUACUUCUAGCAGGUUCAUUAAUUAAAGGGAGCCUUCUCCCUGAUUGUUUAGGAUUGGUACUGCUGAAUAUUUUCUUGCCUUAAAGGUUGCAUUCUUUCAAACUAUAAAUAGGCCAAAUCUAUUUGUGUAUUUUAAUUUAAGUUAGCAUGUUUAAUCCCCUUCCCCUUUUCCUUUGUCUGUUCAGUUUAAGCUUUAACAUGUUGAAUCCCUUUCCCCAUUUCCCUUGUCUGUGUGUUUGUCUGUUCAGUUUAAGCUUUAACAUGUUUAAUCCCUUUCCCCAUUUCCUUGUCUGUGUGUAGUUCAGUUGCAACAUAUUUAGUUCUCCAUUUUUCCUUGUCUGUUUUUGUUUUAGUUUUUAGUUCAGCAUGCUCAGUCCUUUCUCUUGGCUGUUUAUUGUUCAUUAUAUAGUUUAAGUUCUUAUACACCACCUUUCCCCUGAAUCCCUUUUAAUUUAGUCUUAUAUACUUAUGUGACUCUUUUUUCCCUGAUCCUUGUUUGAAUGAGAGUGUGUUCUAUAUUAGGGUGGCAUCAUUGUCACUCCUAGUUUAGAACUAAGGUUGUCAACAACCUAUACUCAAACUAAUCACAUCCCCUACCCCCUUAUUAUGUGUUUGAGCCUUGACAAAGGUUUGUUGGUGUCCUAAUCACCAUUCAGGCCCUAGUAUGACUUGUUUACAAGUCUGCUCCUGUUUGUUAACCUUUAUAAGUGGUUAGGGGUGUGCCAGCCUCACUCCAUAGGCUAGGUAUGACCGCCUCCUACAAUGGUCUUCCUCUAAUCUAUCACCUUUACACUUAUUCUUAGUGCUUUAAGUCCUACUUCCCCCUUAGUAAGCCAUGCUUAGGGGACCCCAGAGUCUCCUCUAAACUUGAAUGCUUUUGGGCUAGUAAUUCCACGCUUGCACUACUCUAAAGAGAAAGCCUCGGAUUUGGGAGCCUGGAUUUGGUAAAGGGCGUACGUUGGACAUUAAAGUUGCUUUGCGCUUCUUCGGGCCUGUUGUAGUAUUGAUGUAUUAUUUAUUUCCUUUAAUGUUAUUUUUUUGGUCCAGAUUCUUGUAAAUAACUUGUAAUUAAAGAACUUGGGGAUCUAGUGAAAGAGAAUAUGAGAGGGUUUACCUUUAUUGCGUUAUCUCAUAUAGUUACCAUGGCUAUAGGGCUUUACUUUUUUGCAUCAUCUCAUGUAGAUAUCAUGCUUAUAGGGUUUUACUUCUUGCAUCAAUAUCAUAUAGUUACC
RNAcentral lists this long non-coding RNA (15016 nucleotides) under Nicotiana benthamiana. RNAcentral describes it as "long non-coding RNA (NBEN_LNC016329)". The record is from RNAcentral. Lineage: Eukaryota; Viridiplantae; Streptophyta; Magnoliopsida; Solanales; Solanaceae.